UACGAAGGGGGCUAGCGUUGCUCGGAAUCACUGGGCGUAAAGCGCACGUAGGCGGACAUUUAAGUUGGAGGUGAAAGCCUUGGGCUCAACCCAAGAAUUGCCUUUGAUACUGGAUGUCUCGAGACCGGGAGAGGUGAGUGGAAUUCCGAGUGUAGAGGUGAAAUUCGUAGAUAUUCGGAAGAACACCAGUGGCGAAGGCGGCUCACUGGCCCGGUUCUGACGCUGAGGUGCGAAAGCGUGGGGAGCAAACAGG
RNAcentral lists this ribosomal RNA (253 nucleotides) under uncultured bacterium. Its description in RNAcentral is "partial 16S ribosomal RNA". It matches the Rfam family "Bacterial small subunit ribosomal RNA", at positions 524 to 776 of the family's 1533-position model. The record is from RNAcentral.